Molecule: ribosomal RNA, 253 nt
Filed under: uncultured bacterium
Lineage: Bacteria
Description: partial 16S ribosomal RNA
Rfam family: Bacterial small subunit ribosomal RNA
Source: RNAcentral
UACGGAGGGUGCAAGCGUUGUCCGGAUUUAUUGGGUUUAAAGGGUGCGUAGGUGGCUAUUUAAGUCAGUGGUGAAAGUCUGCAGCUCAACUGUAGAAUUGCCAUUGAUACUGAAUAGCUUGAGUAUUGAUGAGGUAGGCGGAAUUGAUAGUGUAGCGGUGAAAUGCAUAGAUAUUAUCAAGAACACCGAUUGCGAAGGCAGCUUACUAAGGAAUAACUGACACUGAGGCACGAAAGCGUGGGGAGCAAACAGG